GUUUUAAUAAUUUAAUAAAAAAUAUUGGUCUUGUAAACCAAAAAUAAGUAUACACCUUUUAAAACU
This 66-nucleotide transfer RNA is filed under the name Therea regularis. RNAcentral's name for it is "tRNA-Thr". It matches the Rfam family "tRNA". From Rfam's summary of the family: Transfer RNA (tRNA) molecules are approximately 80 nucleotides in length. Their secondary structure includes four short double-helical elements and three loops (D, anti-codon, and T loops). Further hydrogen bonds mediate the characteristic L-shaped molecular structure. tRNAs have two regions of fundamental functional importance: the anti-codon, which is responsible for specific mRNA codon recognition, and the 3' end, to which the tRNAs corresponding amino acid is attached (by aminoacyl-tRNA synthetases). tRNAs cope with the degeneracy of the genetic code in two manners: having more than one tRNA (with a specific anti-codon) for a particular amino acid; and 'wobble' base-pairing, i.e. permitting non-standard base-pairing at the 3rd anti-codon position. Lineage: Eukaryota; Metazoa; Arthropoda; Insecta; Blattodea; Corydiidae. The record is from RNAcentral.